This 427-nucleotide ribosomal RNA is filed under the name uncultured bacterium. Its description in RNAcentral is "partial 16S ribosomal RNA". It matches the Rfam family "Bacterial small subunit ribosomal RNA", at positions 355 to 774 of the family's 1533-position model. The record is from RNAcentral.
UGGGGAAUAUUGGACAAUGGGCGAAAGCCUGAUCCAGCCAUGCCGCGUGUGUGAAGAAGGUCUUCGGAUUGUAAAGCACUUUAAGUUGGGAGGAAGGGCAUUAACCUAAUACGUUAGUGUUUUGACGUUACCGACAGAAUAAGCACCGGCUAACUCUGUGCCAGCAGCCGCGGUAAUACAGAGGGUGCAAGCGUUAAUCGGAAUUACUGGGCGUAAAGCGCGCGUAGGUGGUUUGUUAAGUUGGAUGUGAAAUCCCCGGGCUCAACCUGGAAACUGCAUUCAAAACUGACUGACUAGAGUAUGGUAGAGGGUGGUGGAAUUUCCUGUGUAGCGGUGAAAUGCGUAGAUAUAGGAAGGAACACCAGUGGCGAAGGCGACCACCUGGACUAAUACUGACACUGAGGUGCGAAAGCGUGGGGAGCAAACA